GGCUGGAAAGAUGGCUCAGUGGUUAAGAGCACUGACUACUCUUCUAGAGGUCCUGAGUUCAAUUCCCAGCAACCA
RNAcentral lists this transfer RNA (75 nucleotides) under Mus musculus (house mouse). Its description in RNAcentral is "tRNA-Ser". The record is from RNAcentral. Lineage: Eukaryota; Metazoa; Chordata; Mammalia; Rodentia; Muridae.